AUGACAACGUCAAGUACCAAAAUGUAUACACAUUUUAUCAUGUCCAAAUUACAUUCCAAUUCCAUUACAAAAUCACAAAAUCAUCAUCCAAACUCUAUUACAAAAUGCACAAGAAACAUCACAAAGUCAUUACAAACAAAGGACUUCACAUUAAAAGUCAUAAAAAUAUUCCUAAAUAUAAUUCUUCAAUCAUCUUCAUGCCUUAAAAAUCAGUGA
Molecule: non-coding RNA, 216 nt
Organism: Vicia faba (fava bean)
Lineage: Eukaryota; Viridiplantae; Streptophyta; Magnoliopsida; Fabales; Fabaceae
Source: the annotation of a GenBank genome assembly